UUAUUAAAAUACAAGGAGGAAUAUAAUGAAAUCAAUAAAGGGUUAUAUUUUAUAGAUUAUGACGGAAGACUGCAUAAAUAAGUGAAAUAGAAACAACAUUAAUUAUUACUAGAUAGUUGAUUAAAUAUUAAAUGGAAUUUAUUAUUAAAAAAACUACGUGUAAAGAUGAUGUCGAUUCGUGGAAGAAUAAAAAAUGUCUUAUCAAAGAGGCAUUCAAAUCGAUGGACACAGAUUCAGAUGGUUAUUUAAAUUAUUAUGAAGCUAAAACAGCUAUGAAAGCUUUGGGGUUAAGAAUAAAUAAAUCUUUUGUUUUAUCGACUAUUCGCAUGUACGAUAAACGUGGUGAUAGUAAAAUUAGUUUUGAUGAUUUUUAUUUCGUUGUUGACGAAGCUGAAUUCAUUGAAAUGAUGACUGAGUCAUAAAAUUAUUCCAAAUUAUUAGAAAAUUGUAUGGGAAAUUAUAUUAUUUAUUUCAUCGGUUAAAA
This 484-nucleotide unclassified non-coding RNA is filed under the name Polistes fuscatus (common paper wasp). RNAcentral's name for it is "cell division control protein 31-like, transcript variant X1". The record is from RNAcentral. Lineage: Eukaryota; Metazoa; Arthropoda; Insecta; Hymenoptera; Vespidae.